CAGCAGCCACGGGAAUACGUAGGUGGCAAGCGUUGUCCGGAAUUAUUGGGCGUAAAGGGCUCGCAGGCGGUUUCUUAAGUCUGAUGUGAAAGCCCCCGGCUCAACCGGGGAGGGUCACUGGAAACUGGGGAACUUGAGUGCAGAAGAGGAGAGUGGAAUUCCACGUGUAGCGGUGAAAUGCGUAGAGAUGUGGAGGAACACCAGUGGCGAAGGCGACUCUCUGGUCUGUAACUGACGCUGAGGAGCGAAAGCGUGGGGAGCGAACAGGAUUAGAUACCCCAGUAGUCCCUGUCUCUUAUAC
This 301-nucleotide ribosomal RNA is filed under the name uncultured bacterium. RNAcentral describes it as "partial 16S ribosomal RNA". It matches the Rfam family "Bacterial small subunit ribosomal RNA", at positions 509 to 807 of the family's 1533-position model. The record is from RNAcentral.